This is a long non-coding RNA of Clupea harengus (Atlantic herring), 236 nucleotides long. RefSeq lists it as uncharacterized. The transcript is spliced from 3 exons. The record is from RefSeq and is a predicted model, not a curated record. NCBI's taxonomy places the organism in Eukaryota, Metazoa, Chordata, Actinopteri, Clupeiformes, Clupeidae.
CUUUUCUGUGAAGAUGACAAACAGCUUGUGUGUUUGGUGUGUCGAGACUCAAAACUCCACAAGAACCACAACUUCAGUCCUAUCAGUGAAGCAGCACUUGAGCGUAAGGAGGAACUGAAGAUCAAACUGGAGCCCUUACAGAAGAAGCUGGACAACUUUAAACAAGUUAAAACAACCAGUGAUGAAACUGCCCAACACAUAAGAGUCCAGGCCCAACACACAGAGAGCCAGAUCAA